Molecule: long non-coding RNA, 353 nt
Filed under: Musa acuminata (dwarf banana)
Lineage: Eukaryota; Viridiplantae; Streptophyta; Magnoliopsida; Zingiberales; Musaceae
Description: long non-coding RNA (MACU_LNC006089)
Source: RNAcentral
GUUCUUGGCUUGUGCCGGGGGUUUGGUUUGCGGCAACCAGACCUACAUCGUGUACAUGAACCCGGCCCACCGGCCGGCAGUCCACCCGACCCACGCCGACUGGUACGCUGCGCACCUUCAGUCUCUGGACAUCGACCCCGGCCGCCACCUACUCUAUACCUACUCCGACGCCCUCCACGGCUUCGCGGCCUCCCUGCUGCCGCACCACCUCGACCUCCUCCGCCGCUCCCCCGCCGUAGUCCAACUCCACCCCGACCCUGUACUCACCCUGCACACCACCCGCUCCCCGCAGUUUCUUGGUCUCGCACCCGACGCCUCCUCCUCGGCGGCCGUUCCCCGCCCCAUACAGGCCG